AUUGAACGCUGGCGGCAGGCUUAACACAUGCAAGUCGAGCGGGGUGAUGGUGCUUGCACUAUCACUUAGCGGCGGACGGGUGAGUAAUGCUUAGGAAGCUGCCUAUUAGUGGGGGACAACAUCUCGAAAGGGAUGCUAAUACCGCAUACGUCCUACGGGAGAAAGCAGGCGAUCACUUGUGACCUUGCGCUAAUAGAUGAGCCUAAGUCGGAUUAGCUAGUGGGUGGGGUAAAGGCCUACCAAGGCGACGAUCUGUAGCGGGUCUGAGAGGAUGAUCCGCCGCACUGGGACUGAGACACGGCCCAGACUCCUACGGGAGGCAGCAGUGGGGAAUAUUGGACAAUGGGGGGAACCCUGAUCCAGCCAUGCCGCGUGUGUGAAGAAGGCCUUAUGGUUGUAAAGCACUUUAAGCGAGGAGGAGGCUCUUUUGGUUAAUACCCAAGAUGAGUGGACGUUACUCGCAGAAUAAGCACCGGCUAACUCUGUGCCAGCAGCCGCGGUAA
This 503-nucleotide ribosomal RNA is filed under the name uncultured bacterium. RNAcentral describes it as "partial 16S ribosomal RNA". It matches the Rfam family "Bacterial small subunit ribosomal RNA", at positions 30 to 523 of the family's 1533-position model. The record is from RNAcentral.